Molecule: unclassified non-coding RNA, 284 nt
Filed under: plant metagenome
Description: partial contains small subunit ribosomal RNA and internal transcribed spacer 1
Rfam family: Eukaryotic small subunit ribosomal RNA (bases 1-53)
Source: RNAcentral
GGAAGUAAAAGUGUAACAAGGUUUCCGUAGGUGAACCUGCGGAAGGAUCAUUAUUGUAUAACCGAGGUGCGAGGGCUGUCGCUGACCCGAAAGGUCGUGCACGCCCGAGUGCCCUCACACACAUCCAUCUCACCCCUAUGUGCACCACCGCGUGGGUCCCCCUUUGGCUUGUUCGGAGGGGGGCUUACGUUUUCACACAAACUUUGUAUGCAGUGUAGAAUGUAUUUUUUGUUUUUGCGGUCACGCAAUCAAUACAACUUUCAACAACAGAUCUCUUGGCUCUC